GACGAACCGUGCGACCGUUAUUCGGAAUCACUGGGCUUAAAGCGCGUGUAGGCGGGACGGCACGUCUGUCGCUGAAAUCCCCCGGCUUAACCGGGGAACUGGCGGAGAUACGACCGUCCUGGAGGGGCGUAGGGGCAUCUGGAACGUUGGGUGGAGCGGUGAAAUGCGUUGAUAUCCAACGGAACUCCGGUGGCGAAGGCGAGGUGCUGGACCCUUUCUGACGCUGAGGCGCGAAAGCCAGGGGAGCGAACGGG
Molecule: ribosomal RNA, 254 nt
Filed under: uncultured bacterium
Lineage: Bacteria
Description: partial 16S ribosomal RNA
Rfam family: Bacterial small subunit ribosomal RNA
Source: RNAcentral